This 399-nucleotide ribosomal RNA is filed under the name uncultured bacterium. RNAcentral's name for it is "bacterial SSU rRNA". It matches the Rfam family "Bacterial small subunit ribosomal RNA", at positions 355 to 771 of the family's 1533-position model. The record is from RNAcentral.
UGGGGAAUCUUAGACAAUGGGGGAAACCCUGAUCUAGCCAUGCCGCGUGAACGAUGAAGGCCCUAGGGUUGUAAAGUUCUUUCAGCGAGGAAGAUAAUGACGGUACUCGCAGAAGAAGCCCCGGCUAACUCCGUGCCAGCAGCCGCGGUAAUACGGAGGGGGCUAGCGUUGUUCGGAAUUACUGGGCGUAAAGCGCACGUAGGCGGAUCAGUCAGUCAGGGGUGAAAUCCCGGGGCUCAACCCCGGAACUGCCUUUGAUACUGCUGGUCUGGAGUCCGAGAGAGGUGAGUGGAAUUCCGAGUGUAGAGGUGAAAUUCGUAGAUAUUCGGAGGAACACCAGUGGCGAAGGCGGCUCACUGGCUCGGUACUGACGCUGAGGUGCGAAAGCGUGGGGAGCAA